AGCCCUAGGAUCAUGCCUCAGGACUACCUGGCUUGAUGACUCCUGGCUGUCCCUAGUCCACCUGGUCGUACUGCUGCUCCAGUUUCAACUGUUCUUCCUGCGGUUAAGGAUCCCUGACCGGUUUUUGACUCUAUCUCACUCCGUACCGCAACUGCCGUCUCGGCCUCUGAAUGCUCGCCUAUGAAAAGCCAACUGACAUUUACUCCUGAGGUACUGACCUGUUGCACCCUCUACAACCACUGUGAUUAUUAUUUGACCCUGCUGGUCAUCUAUGAACGUUUGAACAUCUAUGAACAUCUUGAAGAACAAUUUGGCUUUAAAUGGCCAUAUACUCUUAUAAUCUCCACCCGGCACAGCCAGAAGAGGACUGGUCACCCAUCAGAGCCUGGUUCCUCUCUAGGUUACUUCCUACGUUUCUUCCUUUCUAGAGUUUUUCCUAGCCACCGUGCUUCUACAUCUGCAUUGCUUGCUGUUUGGGGUUUUAGGCUGGGUUUCUGUAUAGCACUUUGUGACAUCUGCUGAUGUAAAAAGGGCUUUAUAAAUACAUUUGAUUGAUUGAUUUGGUUGAACUACACAAAGGCCCCCCAGAGAACAUUCUCAGAGGACCAUCACGCAAUGUCCUGACGACUGGUUAAACAAAUGUCCUGAGAACGUCUUGAAGACGUCUUCUCAGUGUUGUCCUGGUAACUUACAAGGAACUAAACAAAGGUCCCCUAGAGAACGUUUCCUUGGGCCAUCACACAACGUCCUAAGUGCUAGUAAAAUGUAUGUUGUGAGAAUAUUAAAAAAAAGUCCUGACAUGGACAUCAGUAUCAUCCUAGUAGCUUACAGGGAACUAGACAAAAGUCCACCAGAGAACGUUCCCUUGUAACCAUCACGUGACAUCCUGAGGACUGGUACACCAAUUGUCCUGAGAAUUUCCUAAAAUGACAUGCCUGGAGCGUACCAGGAACUUGACAAAACCCUCUGACACAAUAUCCUGGCAUUAGCAAACGAAUUAGAACCUUUAUGGAACAUCCUGUGUGUUCGUUGGAUGUCAAGAGGAGAAUGUUCCCUAAUGGUCAUUCAAAGAUCUUAUUGUAACAUUUUGGCGGUAGCCAAUAAGGACCUGUACUGGAUGUCCCCUUGUGUUAGCUGGAUGUCCUGAAUAUAACAACACGGGGAACUUUUUGUAAUGUCCCCUUAUGGUCAUGCUAAGAUCUUAUUGUAAUGUUCUGUCUGUAACAACCUAGGACCUGUCGGAAAUUUCGCCAAGUGGUCAUUGAAUGAUAACGUCCUAUCAAAACCAAAUAGGAACUUAUUUGUAACCUUCCCUAGUGGACAUCAAAAUACCUUAUUCUAAUGUUAUACUGCGACUGACCAGGACCUGUACUGAACGUCACCUUAUGGUCCCGGGGUUAACGUCAUGUUCAAUUAUCCUCACGGAAACCCUGAAAGGGACCUAAUGGGAACGUCUCCUAAUGUCCUUUGGAUGUCCCCUGUUUGCUGGGAUUGUCCUGACAAACCUCCUGCAAUAAAUACUGUAAGACUGUAGCUCACCCUCGAAGGGUUUAUGUAAGUGAUACAUGGGGGUUACUGGGGGUGUGAGGAUUGUGUGUUUGUCUUUUUAAUUGUCUUGUGACCCAUCAAGUUAAGAAAUAUUUUUUUUUACCCAAGAGGAACUGGCAAUGAGUCGACCCUGAACUUAAGCCGAGUUAGUUCACAGCCUUCUAUAGAAGACCUAACACACAGUCCCAGUGUGAAUUUGGAGGGAGAAACCCCCUCUUGACAAGAGGAAGCUGGUGAGGAGAGGAGAGCAGGAGAGAGAAAGGAAGGAGGGGUGUGGUGGGGUUGAAGAAGGAAAAAAGAGUGAAAAGGGGAAUACUGGUCUACUUGACAUUAAAAGCACAUCUGAUCCUCUCAGCUGACUACAGCCUCUGUUUCAGCUAUAUCACUACAGAAGAACAUGGAGAAAAGCAGAAUAAUAUGUAGAGAAUUCUACAGAUAACAAUCGAAAUGGGGGUUUCAUAAAUACUCAGUGACCAUUCGGGAGUCACCUAUAAAUGUAAUAAAUGUUAUACAGUAUUUGAUAUAAUUACUGUAGUUAGAUCAUCAAGCCACUGUCACUGUGUGGCUUUGAAUUUCAGUGGUUCAAGAGUUGUAAGCACUCUGUAGGGGGAUGUAAUGCAUGAUGUACUGUAGUCACUCCAGCCAAGUGAUAAUUAUCUUGCUGAUUGAUAAUAAAAAAGACAAUGAGGAUGACAUUGGGCACAGGAAAUGUUUUUGUCAAUAAUUCAGCAACAUCAUCAGAUUUCAUAUUAAGAAGCGAGACUGUCGUCAUGUAGACUUUCCCCCGGAUAUUACACUGUCAUUAGGAGCUCUAGAACCAGGAAACCAGGGAUGUGUGGUUCCACUGUCAAACAAACACUGAGGAACAUACCUCAUUACACUGAAAGAUGGACAUAUAGAAAGACAGACAUGUUAUCCUCUGGAUGCAUUCCUCUCAUCCUAAACCCAAAUUUGGAGAUAAAAUAGUGACUUAAGUGUACAAGCAUUUAAUGAAUUUUGUAGUUGCAAUUUCUUUUGCAAACGUAACUUUUGAGAAUAAAUGCAACAACACUUGCAAACAUGUAAGAUGAUAUGUGAAUAAAUUCAAUAAGAUUAGCAAGCAUGCAACUAAAUUUGAGAAUUAAUGCAAUUCAUUUAUUAAACUUGCGACUGAUGAAUCUUAUUCUGUGAAUAAAAAAUACAUUUGCCGAUGUCGAAUCUGUGCGCUCAGAGUUUUGGCACUAACUUGGCGACUAAACUCUGCCAAAAGUUUUAUAGUUCUGAAAAAUAAUGGUGCAAGCAAGCAGCAUAGAAAAACACGAGCUCUGGUAGACAAGACUUUUUCUUCCGGUCAAUCAGGUAAGGUGUUGUCAUUCUUGAAUAUGCUUUCACGUUUCACAGUGUUCCGGUCUGGCUAGUGGUUCUUACGUUGUGUAGCAGAGCGAUAGGUCUAGCUAUGUACUUGACAUUUGGUGAAGACUAACAUUAGUUUAGAGAAUAACUGUUUACGCUGUGUAUACUAUAUAUGGUGUGUAGUUGGUUGGCUUUGCUAGUUAGCAAGCUGGAAUCUCUGCUCAAGUUGGCUAAUGUUAGCUAGCUUGCUAAUAAUGUUUUGAGGAGAACAGGCUAGCUCCCUGUAGCAUCAAGACGAAGGGAUUGGGAAGAAGAUUAGAUGUGCAGUUGCUUCAUCAGGCGAGAUGAGAGCUAAGUGCUACAGAUAUAAAAAGGUGAGAUCUCUCAGAUUCUAUCUUGAUUAGAUAGAUAGAUGUCAAUGUCAAACCAAUGCAAUGAUAUUCCUUUUAUUGGCUUGCUAUAUGAGCUGCUUUUCCUGAAAAUGUCUAUCUGAUAUAGCUAGCUAGUUGUUGCUGUUCCGGUGUCCGGUAAAUGUUACAGCCACAAUAUUAUGAUCAUCUAGUCAUGCAUCUGCAGACCAGCAAGGUGGAGAAAAGCCUGCUUUGGUUGAGCUAGCUAGAACAACAUCAACUAGCUAAAUAAAAUAUCAGAACCAUUUUCAGGAAAGUGUGGAUAGAGCUAGCUAUCUGUAGUAAUUUUUAUAUUUGAAACCACCACAUCUACAUCAUCUGAGCGAUCUCACCUUUUUAUCUCUGUAGCAGUCAGCUCUCAUCUCACCUGGGCAAUGCAUCAGCCAGAUGAAGCAACUGCACAACUAAUCUUAUUCCCCAUCCUCUCUUGUCUGGAUUAUACAGGGAACUAGCCAUGUUCUUCUCAAAACAUUAUUAGCAUGUAAGCUAACUUGAGCAGAGAUCGCAGCUUGCUAACUAGCAAAGCCAACCAACAAACCAAAUAUACAUCGCAAACAAUUAUUUUCUAAACUAAUGUUAGUCUCAACCGAAUGACAAGUACAUAGCUACACCUAUUGUUUCGUUACAUAACGUAAGAACCAUUAGCCAGAACGGAACCAUGUGAAACGUGAAAGCACGUUCAAGAAUGACUACACCUUACCUGAUUGGUCGGAAUAAAAAGCCCUUACCACCAGAGCUCGUUUUUUUCUCUGCUGCAAUUAUUAUUAUUUUUUUUACAACUACAAAACUUUUUGGAAAUGUUGUUUUUUUUUUUUAUGCACGUGAUGUUAGAACAUUCUCUCCAUUCCAGAAUGUGAUUGUUACGCAACAGCACAUUUAAUCCGCGCUGCCCUUAAACCAAGGCACGCAGCCUGUUUUAUUUAUAGGCUGUUUUCAACUUGUCAAUGUCAAAAUCUUUUCUAACAAGUUUUUUAUUUUCUAAGAACAGUUUGAAUUGAGGUGUGUUCCAUCUCAUUCAUUCACAUAAAAGUAGUCAUUUUUACUUUUGCGGACCAAUUCAUUUUUUCGAGAUUUCUGACCCAGACACUUCCCAAUUGUUUGUGCAGUUCAAGUCUGCAGACAUUUGCUCAUCUCCCAUCCUGCACACACGUGCUCACAUUUUCCGUCUGUUGCCUGCAUCACAGUCGUAGUUGUUUUUUCGUUACCAAUAAUAUCGUUUCUAUCAAACUACCCUGGCCUUACGACUCCCAAUUGGCGCAGCUGUCUAAGGCACUCCAUCUUAAUGCUAGAGGCGUCACUAAACACCCAGGUUCAAAUCCAGACCUUGUUUCUAUCAAAGUAAGUGCCUUAUUACGUUCUAAUAGUUUCUGUAUGUUGUGUUAUACCGUUUCUACUGUAGCUGACUGUGUGUAUGGAGCAUAAUAUAUUUGUCUGUAUUCCUUAUAACCGCAGACACACGAGGUAACAUUGCACAUUUCAUAACCUUUAUGGUGUUAUAUUCAAUCAUGCUUAUGUAGCUAGCUACAUUCUUCUAUUAGCUCUGUAAAACAAUGCUAAUUGCAUCAGAGAAGUAUUGGCUUGUUGUAUUUUAUAAGCUACCCUGGCCAAGUGGUGCAGCUGUCUAAGGCACAGCAUCUCAGUGCGAGAGGCAUCACUACAGACACCCUGGUUCAAAUCCAGGCUGUGUUUUUAUCAAAGUAAGUGCCUUAUUAUAUUAAUAGUUUCUGUAUGUGAUUUGCAUGUGAACUGUAUGUCCAAUUACAAAAAAUCCCUUGUUCAUUAAUCAUCUCACCUGUUAGUUGGUGGUGAACUAUGUGGCCAUUGAGGGCUGCGUUGAUCAGAUGGAAAAAUAUAUUAUUUUAUCACUUGGUUGUUUUCUGAGUGCAUUCCACAAAGCUGUAUAUCAUGUCCACCUUAUCCACUGCCCCCAUUUCGAGGUUAUAGUCAAGCACGCAGUCUGGAUUGAUUUUUCUCUCUCCCGUCAGGUGGUCCACCUUCCCUGUGGCCGACAUGGUUGUUGUAUGGACAGUGGAGAGGACAUGGAUGUCUCAUUUUUCAUGCAACUUUACUGCCAACUGUUGACAUGUCUUAUUUUGUAUAACGGAUCAUUUAGGAUGGCAGUAGCAUUGAUGAUGAAAUGCAGUCAUUGCAGCAGAACUAGGAAGCGGUCUUGGGAAAAGAGUUGCAAACAUAGGAUCUGUGCUCCAGUACUCUCUUAGUGAGUUCUUCUUUACUAUCCCCAUGAGAAGGACUGUCACCAGGAAGGUAUACAUUUCACUAGCUCCUCACCGUCACUGUCAGAAUCUGAUACCUGACUUUCAGACUCAUUGUCAGAAUUUUAAAAAAAAAUCUCCAGAAUUUCCGCAUUUGUGAGUUGUCUCCUUUUGAAAGACAUUGCUAAUGCUACAGCUUAGCUCACUAGUUACAUACAUGAACAACAACACUGAAUGGCUCAGAGUGUUAGUGAGAGGUUACGUGAUUGACUGCCUGCCCACGCCAUUUGUAUCAAUAAAUCACUAUCAGAAAAUGUUUUGUGUGGUAAUUAUUGAUAUAUUUACUGUUUUAUUCAUGUUUUUCAAGUUCCGGUGAUAAAUCAUGCAUUACGAUUCUUGCAUAGAUUGUAAUGGGCACAUAUUAAGUGUAUAAAAUACUUUUUUUGAAGGUUGUACUGAUUAUGAUGAGCUAAGCUAAUUCCAGCUAUGUGUGGAGCCAUGUUUGUUGACAUACAAUGCUUUCUGGGUGUCACACCCUGGCCAUAGAGAGGGUUUUGUUCUCUAUUUUGGUUAGGCCAGGGUGUGACUGGGGUGGGCGUUCUAUGUUCCUUUUUCUAUGUUUUUGUAUAUCUUUGUUUGGACCGAGUAUGGUUCCUAAUCAGAGGCAGCUGUCUAUCGUUGUCUCUGAUUAGGAAUCAUACUUAGGCAGCCUUUUCCCCACCUGUGCUUUGUGGGAUCUUGUGUUUGUGUAGCUGCCUGUGAGCAGCACAGAACAUCACGCUUUGUUUUCGUCUGUAUUGUUUUGGUGAGUUUCAUAUUUAUUAAACAUGUGGAACUCUAA
Salmo salar (Atlantic salmon) is the source of this 6344-nucleotide long non-coding RNA. RefSeq lists it as uncharacterized. NCBI's taxonomy places the organism in Eukaryota, Metazoa, Chordata, Actinopteri, Salmoniformes, Salmonidae. The record is from RefSeq and is a predicted model, not a curated record.